GACAGAGGCCCCAAGCGUUAGGCGGAAUCACUGGGCUUAAAGCGUGUGUAGGCGGAUCGUUAAGUGUCUUGUGAAAUCCCACGGCUCACCCGUGGAACUGCUGGGCAUACUGGCGAUCUUGGGCCAACUAGGGGCAGUCGGAACAAGCGGUGGAGCGGUGAAAUGCGUAGAUAUCGCUUGGAACGCCGAAGGUGAAAACAGACUGCUGGGGUUGAGCUGACGCUGAGACACGAAAGCCAGGGGAGCAAACGGG
This 253-nucleotide ribosomal RNA is filed under the name uncultured bacterium. RNAcentral's name for it is "partial 16S ribosomal RNA". It matches the Rfam family "Bacterial small subunit ribosomal RNA", at positions 524 to 776 of the family's 1533-position model. The record is from RNAcentral.